UGAGAUUCCCCGGGGAGUCAAUUAGAAUUACAUAGCAACUGCAGGCAAGUGCAACAUCUGGACAUGGCAUUUUACCUAAGUUAGUGACAACUAACUUUGCCCUAGAAUCGUCUUUGCUGCUUUUACCACUCUGCUAACAAAGAUAAGGAGAGAGUUCAUAAGGAAAGGCCCACCCAUGUAAUCCAGAAAGAACUCUUUAUCUCAAGAUCCUUAGCUUAAUUACGGGAGCAAGGACCAUUUUUCAAAAUGAGAGGUUCGGUCCAGGAUUGGUGAACUCCAUUGCUGAAUGUCAGAGGCAUGGCAGAAGAACAUCAUGGCAGAAGGGAGUAAUAGACGGAAGCUGCUCAGCUCAUUGCAGCCAGGAAGAAGAGGAGAAAGCAAGGAGCCAGACACAAGCCAAGAGGACCCUUAUCAGAACAGAAGCAAUGCCAGUACAAUGCCCUUCAACCACCAAAACUGUGAGCUAAAUAAACCUCAGCACCCCUUUGAAGACGUCUCUGAGCCUGUCUGGAUGGUCCUGAAUAAAAUUUUAUCCACUAUGCUUUAAAUAUUAUUGAUUUUUUUUCCCCUUUAACACAAACACAAAUUACUUUGAACUCUGUGGGAAAUGGAAUAGAAACCAAAAUUAAAACUAUUAAUUUUUAUUGUUUUUGAGAAAAAGAUAGAUAAAAAUAGUAUAGAACAGUAAGUGAAUAAGCUCUGAGAAUGAUUGACAUAAAAUAAGUGGUUAAGAAUUCAGAGGAAGGAGGGAUUAACAUUAAUGAAGAAAAUAGUAAUGAAGAAAAGCCAGAUAGCGGCAGUCUUGGCAAUACAGAACUACGCUAUGUUCAUUGAUCUUAAGGAGCUUUGAUUUCUUUUUGGGAAGAAGUAGAAACAAGUCUGGAUUAUUAUAACUGGGCCAUAAUUGAAGACAUUUAAAUCUAAAAUUUGGAAAUUUGGACUAUGUUCUAUAGAAAAUAGUGAAAUUGGUUAAAGGAGAGGUGUGAGGUCCUUUUGAUUAAAAUAACAAUAGCUUACAUAUUAUUAUGCACUACAUUUUACAGAGUGGCUGAGCAUAUGCAGAGCAAGUGAUGAAGGGGGUGUAAAUAAAUAUUCAGAGCAAGGUCAUCCAGAGAAAAUUAAACUUACAAAGCAUUCUAAGCACCUGAUCAAAUAAAUGAAAAGAAAUCUUAAAGACGCAAAAAAAAAAAAAAAAAAAAAAAACAGGCUCAACUUUAAAGGGUCUAACUGGUUUCUUAACAUCUCUUAACAUCUUAACAUCUCUUAAGAUUAAAAAAAAAAAAAGUCUCAACCAGCACAUUAUAAAUAGGAGUGAGAGAAUGGGCAGAGAUGCCUCCAGUUGCUAGACCUAUCUUUGUACAGAAAUUGUUGCUUCCAAUAUCUCCACUGGGGCUCAGAACAAGUACCCAAACUAUGACCCUUGAAGGCCAAUGAAGAACAUUGGAGGACUUUAGAAAUGAGGUCCUUCUAAUCCUCUUCUGUUUGCUCACUGGCCCAUUUUCUCCCAGUAAGCGACACAUAGAAACCACAAUUCUUCCUCCCUAGGCAUGUCAUAGAAACUUAAGCUCCUCUCACUCAAAGCAAGCUACUAAGCCUAGCAAAAGCUGCUCUCUUAAGAGACCCUCAUUCCCGAGGAUUCCUGCCUCAUACUCAGGAGGAAGGAAUGGUACAGAUUAUCCAAGAGCAAUCUGAACAUGCUGGGUUCUAUUACUAUUACAUCAUAUUGUUUCAUUCAGUUCUGCUGCUACAUGGUGGUAGAUUCUUCUUUAAACCUAAGCAUAAAAAUCAAAAGUAUGUUUUGGGUUUGGGGUUCUUCAUUUGUGAAGACUACUUUGCCACAUAAAACUUUGAUUAAAUAAAUUACUUACAAUUUUGUUGACCUGUCUUUCAUUUAGGAGUCUCAACUGUGACCCUCAUGAUAGUUCAGGAAAAGAAUUGCACCUUUUCUCUUCUACACAGUCCUAAUUGACAUUUUGACUCACAGAACUAACUCCAUUUUUAUACUCUUUCACAAGAAACCUUGUGAUGAUAAUUGCCAUAUUUAUUUGUGACACUAUUCCUAAAAGCUGAGGUAUGGAAUCAGGCUAGGUAUCUGUCAACACAUGAAUGGAUAGAGAAAAUGUGAUAUUUAUGCACAAUAGAGUAGUAUCUAGCCAUAAUGGAACCAAAAUUGUGUCUUCUGCACCAAAAUGGACAGAACUGGAGAUAAUGAUAUUAAGCUAAAUAAACCAGACAUAGAAAGUCAAGUAUUUCAUGUUCUCUCUCAUUGUGUAGAAACUUAAAAAAGAAAAAAAAAAGUGACCCGAAGAUAGAGGAAUUACUACAGACUGAGAAGGGUGCCAGGGGAGAGCAUUAAUAGUAGAAGCCCAGAGAGACAUGAUCAAUGCAAAAUGUCUGCAUACACGGAACUCUCACAAUAAAUCUCAUUAAUUUGUACAGUUAAUAUAGGUUAAUAAUUAUAAUGUUUAAAAUACCAUGAAUUUUUUUUAGAGAAAGAAUGACAAGAUAAAAAUGUUCACCAACUAAUCCCAAUGACAUGUUAACAAAUUUUUAUUCUGAUAUACAAAACCAUCUCUUGAGAAAUUAAUGUGAAUCUGCCCUCAAGACCAAAAAAUGCCUUUAAAGGGUAUUUGGGAUAUGCCAAGCCUUGUAUUAAGGACGUUAUGGAUACUAAUUUAUGUAGUCCUCUGUUAUAAACAGAUGCUAAUACUCUCAUUAUCCAGAUUCUUUUAAAAUUAUACAUGACAGUAGAAUGUGUUUUGGCAGAAUAUACAUACGUAGAAUAUAACUUAUUUAGGUUCCCACUCUUAUGAUUGGACAUUAUAUGGAGUUACUCUGUUGGGUAUACAAAUACAAGGCUAGGAAAGUUAUAACCAGUUAAUUCUACUGGCUUUCCUAUUCCCCUCCCCACACCCUUCCUUUUGUUUCCCUUUGUCUAAUCCAAAGUACUUCUAUUCUUCACUUCCCUACCCUCCCUUAUUGUGGGUUAGCAACCACAAGUCAGAGAGAACAUUUAGCCUUUGGUUUGGGGGAUUGGCUUAUUUCACUUAGCAUAAUAGUCUCCAGUUCCAUCCAUUUACUGGUAAAUGCCAUAAUUUCAUUCUUAUUUAUGGCUGAGUAGUAUUCCAUUGUGUAUAUGACAUUUUCUUUAUCCAUUCAACCAUUGAGAGAUUCCUAGGUUGUUUCUAUAGCUUGGAUAUUGUAAAUUCAGCUGCUGUGAAUGUAGAUGUGGCUGUGUCACUGUAAUGUGCCGUUUUUAAUUAAGUCCACUGGAUAUAGACUGAGGAGUGGGACAACAGGGUCAAAUGGUGGUUUCCUUCCAAUUUUUCUAAAGUAUCUCCAUGCUGCUUUCCAUAAUCGGUUGCACAUUCUUGCCAACAUUUAUCGUUGCUUGUGUUUCUUAUAACUGCCCUUCUGACUGGGGUGUGAUGCAAUCUCUGUGUAGUUUUAAUUUGCAUUUCUCUAUUUGCUAGGGAUGUUGAACAUUUUUUCAUAUAUUUUUUGACCAUUCAUAUUGCUUGUUCUGUCAAGUGUUUGUUCAGUUCCAUUGCUCAUUUAUUGUUUGAGUUAUUUAUUUUUCUGGUGUUAAGGUUUUUUGAGUUCUUUGUAUAUCCUGGAAAUUAAUGCCUUAUCUGAGGUACUGGUGGUAAAGAUUUUCUCCCAAUCCUAAAAUCUCUGCACAUGUUCUUGAUUGUUUCCUUUUCUUUGAAGAAGCUUUUUAGUUUCAUACCAUCCCAUUUAUUGAUUCUUGAUUUUACUUCUUGUGCUUUAGGAGUCUUGUUGAGGAAUUUAAUUCCCAAGCCGACUUGUUGGAGAGUUGGGACUACUUUUUCUUGUUUUGUUUUGUUUGUUUUUGUUUUUGAUACCAGGAAUUGAACUCAGGGGCACUCAACCACUGAUCCAUAGCCCCAGCCAUAGCCCCAGCCCUUUUUAAUAUGUUACUUACAGAUAGGGUCUCACUGAGUUGCUUAGCACCUCGCUAAGUUGCUGAGGCUGACUUUGAACUCUUGAUCCUCCUGUCUUAGCCUCUCAAUCCACUGGGAUUACAAGUGCCCCCUCUACUUUUUCUUCUAGUAAUUACAGGGUCUCUGGUCUAAACUCUAGGUCCUUGAUCCACUUGGAGCUGAUUUUUUAACAGGGUGAGAUAUAGUGGUUCAAUUUUAUUCUAUUACAUAUGGAUUUCCUGUUUUCACAGCAUUUGAAAAACAAUUUUAGAGGAGGAAAAGUUUAUUCCAUGCUCACAAUUUCAGAGAUCUCAGUCCAUAGUAGCCAACUGCAUUGCUUUCUGUCCCAGGUGAGGGAAACAUCAUGGUGGAAGGGCAUGAUCAAGGAAAACAGCUCAGGGCAUGACAAUCAGGAAACAGAGGGAGAGCUCCCCUCACCAAGGACAAAAUAUCAAUCCUAAAGGCACAAUCACAAUGAACCUCUUCCAGAUAUACCCUUCCUGCCUACAGUUACCAACAUUUAAUCCCUAUCAGUGGAUUACUGCACUGAUUAAGGAUCUCAUAACCCAAUCAUUUCAUCUCUAAACUUUCUUACAUUGUCUGACAUAAAUGAUUGAAGAACACCUCAUAUCCAAACCAUAAUAUACCCUAUAGGGCAUUUUAUCCUUUUUUUUUUUUUUUGAAAUUAUCAAUAAAGUUCAUUGGUAGCAGUGUAAAUCAAUUACAAUUAAAAAACAAACUAAUUUUCCAUAUGAAUAAAUCUUAAUGCUAUUAAUUUCCUAUAACAUA
Molecule: long non-coding RNA, 4733 nt
Organism: Marmota monax (woodchuck)
Lineage: Eukaryota; Metazoa; Chordata; Mammalia; Rodentia; Sciuridae
Exons: 6
Source: RefSeq, a predicted model, not a curated record